Molecule: ribosomal RNA, 460 nt
Filed under: uncultured bacterium
Lineage: Bacteria
Description: partial 16S ribosomal RNA
Rfam family: Bacterial small subunit ribosomal RNA
Source: RNAcentral
CCUACGGGAGGCAGCAGUGAGGAAUAUUGGUCAAUGGCCGGAAGGCUGAACCAGCCAUGCCGCGUGCAGGUCAGUGCCCUAUGGGCGUUAAACUUCUUUUGUGCGGGAGCAAUAAUGGUCACGUGUGGCCAGACGAGAGUACCGUACGAAUAAGCAUCGGCUAACUCCGUGCCAGCAGCCGCGGUAAUACGGGGGAUGCAAGCGUUAUCCGGAUUUAUUGGGUUUAAAGGGUGCGUAGGCUGUGAGGUAAGUCAGCGGUGAAAUGCCCCCGCUCAACGGGGUGAAGUGCCAUUGAUACUGGCUGGCUGGAAUGCGGAUGCCGUAGGAGGAAUGUGUGGUGUAGCGGUGAAAUGCAUAGAUAUCACACAGAACACCGAUUGCGAAGGCAUCUCACGAAUCCGCGAUUGACGCUGAUGCACGAAAGCGUGGGUAUCAAACAGGAUUAGAUACCCGAGUAGUC